CUGCCAUUGGCAUCUGUUUCAUGGUGUUGUGGUUCAAAUUUUAUGUGUUUGCUCAAGAGGAUAGAGGCGCCUCUAGAUUUAGUAGGUGACGUGGCAUGGUAUUGGUGCGGGAAUUGUAUCGAUUGGAUAUUGGGGUGAUCCAUAUGUCUAAAAUGAGUCUCCUGGAGACAUACGAUAUCCGCGCUUAGGGACUUGAGCUCUCUGUUUAACAUAUGUCUUUUAGCGGGGGUAUUCAAUCCCCGUUUGUUAUAGGUACAGAUCCUCACGGUGGUUUCUCAUGGUGUGGUGGGCUAUAGUGUGUUGUGAUGUGUGUUUCGUCAAGGGUCAGCACUCCUCCCAGCUCCUGCAAGCCGAGUGCUGAUGUCCCAUAUUUGGUCUGGGUGUGGGUGGCCCGUAGAGCUUGUGGGGUAGA
Non-coding RNA from Pelobates cultripes (western spadefoot toad), 412 nucleotides. Lineage: Eukaryota; Metazoa; Chordata; Amphibia; Anura; Pelobatidae. The record is from the annotation of a GenBank genome assembly.